CACCUCCAGAAGAGACAAAAGUUUAUUUUUCAUUUGAAACAGAAUUAUGAAAAACUCAAAAUGUAAGACUUCACUUCUAAAUGUGAAUAUAAAACAUGUAACAACUUCAACUACAAAACGUGUCUCGUCAGCAUUUUUUAUUCCUAAAUUUGAUUUGGAUAAACAAAUAAAAGACAACUUGCCAAAUAAUGUCCAAUAAAAGAAGAGGUAAAACGAUUGCGAACAACAACGUCUAUGCCCAAAUACACAACCACAGACUUUUAGUAUGUCAUUUAUAUUAUAUACUGGAUUCCUUCUGUUCUGUUGUUAAAUAUAACAAAGUAGAUUUGUAUCAAACUUUGUGGAAUCAUUUUUUUGAAGGACAAGACAGGAGGAAUCCAGAGAGAGAUUGUAUUUGGAGAAUGUCUUCCUCCCAAUCAGUGUGCUUAAAUAAAUGUUUUUAGUUACUAAAAUGAAAACAUAAAGACUCCUUUAAGUUCAGUGUUUUGUGAUCCAUACUUGAUUAGAAUAUUUAGAAUAAAUUCUUUCUCUAGUUUGUUGGGAUUUUAGCAGUCCGGGUCUGUUGCCCUGUCACAGUCCAUUACCUUCUCCUCUGUGGCGGCCUGUGGAGCGUGCAUGAGCCUCAGGAGAACACGGGCCUUAUCUAAUUGGCAAAGCUGAGGCAAAACAAUGGCUCAAAGUUCAUUGGUUGAAUAUCUCAUUGAGUUUCAUUCAUCAGUGUUGAUUAAGUUGGAUAGAAGACCACGGCAGUCGCAGCGUUUCACAUGUUGUUUUCUCCAGAACACCCAGAUGCAUCUGAACGUUUUAAGGAGAGCCCCGCCCCCCAAAGAAGAGAGCCCCGCCCCGUUUGGAGGUGCUUUUAUUUAAUGCAACUUUUUGAUGCGUUUAAAGCUUUUUCAAACGGCUGCAACAUCUACGGAAACAUUUCAGGACCAUAGACAGCACUUCACAGCUCCAUGAAACGUUAACAGGAACCACAGAACAAUAUAUUAAUCAAUGAGACAAACAUCAAGUGGUUGUGAAAAGAAGUUGCAAAAGUUUCAUAACGCUCAACGUGCUGAGCUGGCAGUUAGCAGCUAACUGCACGUUAGCAUUCCAGGCUAACUAAAUAGCUAAUAACCAGACUUAUCUUUACUAGUAAUGUAAAAACAAAACAAAUUAAAUGAAGGGUUCCUGCGUGUUGGUGGAUUUAACGGCAGUGACGCUGCUUCGCCAGGUGCCAAGGGCCGAGGUCAGAGGUCGCCGGAGUCAUUGAGAGGGUUGGCGAUGACCGACUUGUGAAUGAGCAUGAAGAGCGGCAGGUAGGCCAGGAAGUCCAGCAGGUCCAGGGGGGGGAUGCGCUGCAGCUCCAGCCGCACGGCCGCCUCCUGCUCCAGGUGGAUGCCCCCGGCCUUCAGCUCCAGAAGGAGCUGCUCCGCGCUGAUGGAGCCCCGCUGGGCUCCGGCGUCUCCUUGCUGCUCCUCCAUGAGGAACAGGAACAGUUGCUGCAUAGUGAUGACAAUAAUA
Molecule: long non-coding RNA, 1506 nt
Organism: Gasterosteus aculeatus aculeatus (three-spined stickleback)
Lineage: Eukaryota; Metazoa; Chordata; Actinopteri; Perciformes; Gasterosteidae
Source: Ensembl